GAUAUUGGAUGAACCAUAAGCCUGUUUCUCUCCUGACAUCUAAUUAUAUUCAGAUAUUAAUGCUUGUAUUCCUCUCUUUAUGGAAUUUCAAGUUUGGCUAUUCUGUUACAUUC
Molecule: small nucleolar RNA, 113 nt
Filed under: Eutrema salsugineum
Lineage: Eukaryota; Viridiplantae; Streptophyta; Magnoliopsida; Brassicales; Brassicaceae
Source: RNAcentral